Plectropomus leopardus (leopard coralgrouper) is the source of this 201-nucleotide non-coding RNA. Lineage: Eukaryota; Metazoa; Chordata; Actinopteri; Perciformes; Serranidae. The record is from RefSeq and is a predicted model, not a curated record.
CGCGGUGAAAACAGUCUUUCGGCAGGUUGCAGAUGAAGGGGUACUUGAGCUCCAGUGACAGAACAGGAACGGCAUACUUUGAUGGACAGAGCGUGUCAAAAAUGCAGUCACCACCACACGUUUUCAUCGAAAAAAGCUUUGACCUGGCUCUCAAAUAAACACGAUACCACGGGCAAAUUCAGGUAAAAGCGAGACGCCCCC